AUUGAACGCUGGCGGCAUGCCUUACACAUGCAAGUCGAACGGCAGCGGGGACUUCGGUCCGCCGGCGAGUGGCGAACGGGUGAGUAAAGUAUCGGAACGUACCUUUCAGUGGGGAGUAACUGUCCGAAAGGAACAGCUAAUACCGCAUAUUCUGUGAGCAGGAAAGCAGGGGAGUCGCAAGACCUUGCGCUGAUUGAGCGGCCGAUAUCAGAUUAGCUAGUUGGUGAGGUAAAGGCUCACCAAGGCGACGAUCUGUAGCGGGUCGUGAGAGGAUGAUCCGCCACACUGGAACUGAGACACGGUCCAGACUCCUACGGGAGGCAGCAGUGGGGAAGUUUUGGACAAUGGGGGCGAACCCUGAUCCAGCCAUGCCGCGUGAGCGAAGAAGGCCUCGGUUGUAAGACGUCUUCGGUCCGGACGGAAAGUACGCAUCAGCU
Molecule: ribosomal RNA, 437 nt
Filed under: uncultured bacterium
Lineage: Bacteria
Description: bacterial SSU rRNA
Rfam family: Bacterial small subunit ribosomal RNA
Source: RNAcentral